This 240-nucleotide ribosomal RNA is filed under the name uncultured Lactobacillus sp. RNAcentral describes it as "partial 16S ribosomal RNA". It matches the Rfam family "Bacterial small subunit ribosomal RNA", at positions 122 to 355 of the family's 1533-position model. The record is from RNAcentral. Lineage: Bacteria; Bacillati; Bacillota; Bacilli; Lactobacillales; Lactobacillaceae.
UAACCUGCCCAAGAGAUCGGGAUAACACCUGGAAACAGAUGCUAAUACCGGAUAACAACAGAUGAUGCCUAUCAACUGUUUAAAAGAUGGUUCUGCUAUCACUCUUGGAUGGACCUGCGGUGCAUUAGCUAGUUGGUAGGGUAACGGCCUACCAAGGCGAUAAUGCAUAGCCGAGUUGAGAGACUGAUCGGCCACAUUGGGACUGAGACACGGCCCAAACUCCUACGGGAGGCAGCAGCC